GUGGGGAAUUUUGGACAAUGGGCGCAAGCCUGAUCCAGCAAUGUCGCGUGCAGGAAGAAGGUUUUCGGAUCGUAAACUUCUAUCCUUGGUGAAGAUAAUGACGGUAGCCAAGAAGGAAGCCCCGGCUAACUACGUGCCAGCAGCCGCGGUAAUACGUAGGGGGCAAGCGUUGUCCGGAAUGAUUGGGCGUAAAGGGCGCGUAGGCGGCCUGGUAAGUCUGGAGUGAAAGUCCUGCUUUUAAGGUGGGAAUUGCUUUGGAUACUGUCGGGCUUGAGUGCAGUAGAGGUAAGUGGAAUUCCCGGUGUAGCGGUGAAAUGCGUAGAGAUCGGGAGGAACACCAGUGGCGAAGGCGACUUACUGGACUGUAACUGACGCUGAGGCGCGAAAGUGUGGGGAGCAAACAGGAUUAGAAACCCGUGUAGUCC
Molecule: ribosomal RNA, 425 nt
Filed under: uncultured bacterium
Lineage: Bacteria
Description: partial 16S ribosomal RNA
Rfam family: Bacterial small subunit ribosomal RNA
Source: RNAcentral